This 1253-nucleotide long non-coding RNA is filed under the name Canis lupus familiaris (dog). RNAcentral's name for it is "lncRNA (ENSCAFG00000053517.1)". Lineage: Eukaryota; Metazoa; Chordata; Mammalia; Carnivora; Canidae. The record is from RNAcentral.
CUAUGCCAUGUAAAGAUUUUGAAAAUAUACAGAAAGAGAGUUUUCUGCUUUCAAGUCACACUUACGUCACUGGCGAUAUUCCUUGAACUUUUUGCGGCAACAAUGGGAAUGGCAUCUGGUCUCAAAUCAUAGCCCUUGGCAAGGGUUUUCUUCCAGUCCGCCUUAUAAUGAGACUUGGAGAAAGGAAACAGUAGUUUAUUAUUUGGCCGCUCUACUUGGAUAGAUUUCUGUAGUUUCAAGCUUUUGUAGAAUAAGCACGCAAUCCUUUAUUUUCUUACAUUUUUCGUAACGAAGCAAUUUAGACUCCCAGAAAGGAGUGAACAGUCCAUUUAAAACGUUCAGACGUGGGACCGCCCAGAUUCGGUCAAGUCGUUUUAAAGAUUUCAGGGAUCUACCACCUGCCCCCUCCAGGCCGAGGGCAGCGGGCUCGGCGCGCCCCGGGGUCACGGCCUGGGCGACCCGGGCCCCACCCCCCCCCCCCCCCGCGGGUCCCACACUCACGUCACUCAGGUUGAGGGCGUUGACCUUGGCCUGGAUGAAGGGCGGCAGCGCGGGGUCCAGGGUGUACGUGUGCUUCCGCUUCUCCCCCUCCGCCUUGUACUUCAGCUGCAAUCACACGCGCGGGUCAGUCAGGGCGGGAGGCGGCUCCCCGCGCGGCCCCUCACGCGGCCUCUCACGCGGCCCCUCACGCGGCCCGUCGCUCCCCACCGCGCGCCCGGCCGGCGCCCCGGCCCCCGCCCCCGCCCCCCCCUCCCGGCGGGCCUUGCGGCGGGGCGUCCGCGUGAGGGGCCGCACAGGCCGCCUGUGCUCCCGGAGGCCACGCGGACGAGCCCGGACGCCGGAAGCGGCGCUGACCCGCGCGGGGUCCCAAGGGCAAGGCCGACGCCGACGCGAGGAGCCCAACGCGGCCCGCGGCCCAGAGCCCCCGGCGGGAGAGUGGGCGGCGGGGCCCGGAGCCGGCAGCCAAGGAAUUGCAAUGGACAUCUGGCCAGAAGACACAACCGGAGGUGUCCCGAUCCCACAAUCCCAAACAUCGUUGACUGCACUGGACUUACAUCACUGAGCGCUUUCUGGGCCUGGGCCACCCGUCUCAGCUCUGGGCUAUCGUUGUACGCGUAAAACAAGCUUUUGUCAGCUUCCCAGUCCUCAGUGUACAGUUUCUAAAUCAGAAAAGAGUGAGAAGUUAUGAGAUAGGAGCUCCCACUUAUACGAAAUACACAACUUUGAAUUCAUCCAUCAAUAGCAAGAAGAAC